UUCCUGUACUUGGUGUUACUGCGAAGGGGGGACGGAGAAGGCUAUGUUGGCCGGGCGACGGUUGUCCCGGUUUAAGCGUGUAGGCUGGUUUUCCAGGCAAAUCCGGAAAAUCAAGGCUGAGGCGUGAUGACGAGGCACUACGGUGCUGAAGCAACAAAUGCCCUGCUUCCAGGAAAAGCCUCUAAGCAUCAGGUAACAUCAAAUCGUACCCCAAACCGACACAGGUGGUCAGGUAGAGAAUACCAAGGCGCUUGAGAGAACUCGGGUGAAGGAACUAGGCAAAAUGGUGCCGUAACUUCGGGAUAAGGCACGCUGAUAUGUAGGUGAAGCGACUUGCUCGUGGAGCUGAAAUCAGUCGAAGAUACCAGCUGGCUGCAACUGUUUGUUAAAAACACAGCACUGUGCAAACACGAAAGUGGACGUAUACGGUGUGACGCCUCCCCGGUGCCGGAAGGUUAAUUGAUGGGGUCAGCGCAAGCGAAGCUCUUGAUCGAAGCCCCGGUAAACGGCGGCCGUAACGAUAACGGUCCUAAGGUAGCGAAAUUCCUUGUCGGGUAAGUUCCGACCUGCACGAAUGGCGUAAUGAUGGCCAGGCUGUCUCCACCCGAGACUCAGUGAAAUUGAACUCGCUGUGAAGAUGCAGUGUACCCGCGGCAAGACGGAAAGACCCCGUGAACCUUUACUAUAGCUUGACACUGAACAUGAGCCUUGAUGUGUAGGAUAGGUGGGAGGCUUUGAAGUGUGGACGCCAGUCUGCAUGGAGCCGACCUUGAAAUACCACCCUUUAAUGUUUGAUGUUCUAACGUGGACCCGUGAUCCGGGUUGCGGACAGUGUCUGGUGGGUAGUUUGACUGGGGCGGUCUCCUCCUAAAGAGUAACGGAGGAGCACGAAGGUUGGCUAAUCCUGGUCGGACAUCAGGAGGUUAGUGCAAUGGCAUAAGCCAGCUUGACUGCGAGCGUGACGGCGCGAGCAGGUGCGAAAGCAGGUCAUAGUGAUCCGGUGGUUCUGAAUGGAAGGGCCAUCGCUCAACGGAUAAAAGGUACUCCGGGGAUAACAGGCUGAUACCGCCCAAGAGUUCAUAUCGACGGCGGUGUUUGGCACCUCGAUGUCGGCUCAUCACAUCCUGGAGCUGAAGUAGGUCCCAAGGGUAUGGCUGUUCGCCAUUUAAAGUGGUACGCGAGCUGGGUUUAGAACGUCGUGAGACAGUUCGGUCCCUAUCUGCCGUGGGCGCUGGAGAACUGAGGGGGGCUGCUCCUAGUACGAGAGGACCGGAGUGGACGCAUCACUGGUGUUCGGGUUGUCAUGCCAAUGGCACUGCCCGGUAGCUAAAUGCGGAAGAGAUAAGUGCUGAAAGCAUCUAAGCACGAAACUCGCCCCGAGAUGAGUUCUCCCUGACUCCUUGAGAGUCCUGAAGGAACGUUGAAGGCGACGACGUUGAUAGGCCGGGUGUGUAAGCGCAGCGAUGCGUU
RNAcentral lists this ribosomal RNA (1470 nucleotides) under metagenome. RNAcentral describes it as "bacterial LSU rRNA". It matches the Rfam family "Bacterial large subunit ribosomal RNA", at positions 1436 to 2887 of the family's 2925-position model. The record is from RNAcentral.